UNGGCUUCCGGCUGCCUACACUAACUCCCU
Molecule: non-coding RNA, 30 nt
Filed under: Mus musculus (house mouse)
Lineage: Eukaryota; Metazoa; Chordata; Mammalia; Rodentia; Muridae
Source: RNAcentral